RNAcentral lists this small RNA (75 nucleotides) under Citrobacter youngae ATCC 29220. RNAcentral describes it as "C0343 RNA". Lineage: Bacteria; Pseudomonadati; Pseudomonadota; Gammaproteobacteria; Enterobacterales; Enterobacteriaceae. The record is from RNAcentral.
CGGUUCCUGUUCCCGAUCCGCUACCUCGUCCGCAGCCGAUGCCGGAUCCGCCACCGGAUGAAGAGCCGAUUAAAU